This 497-nucleotide ribosomal RNA is filed under the name uncultured bacterium. RNAcentral's name for it is "partial 16S ribosomal RNA". It matches the Rfam family "Bacterial small subunit ribosomal RNA", at positions 28 to 507 of the family's 1533-position model. The record is from RNAcentral.
GAUGAACGCUGGCGGCGUGCCUAAUACAUGCAAGUCGAGCGAACGGACGAGAAGCUUGCUUCUCUGAUGUUAGCGGCGGACGGGUGAGUAACACGUGGAUAACCUACCUAUAAGACUGGGAUAACUUCGGGAAACCGGCGCUAAUACCGGAUGAUAUUUUGAACCGCAUGGUUCAAAAGUGAAAGACGGUCUUGCUGUCACUUAUAGAUGGAUCCGCGCUGCAUUAGCUAGUUGGUAAGGUAACGGCUUACCAAGGCAACGAUGCAUAGCCGACCUGAGAGGGUGGUCGGCCACACGGGAACUGGAACACGGUCCAGACUCCUACGGGAGGCAGCAGUAGGGAAUCUUCCGCAAUGGGCGAAAGCCUGACGGAGCAACGCCGCGUGAGUGAUGAAGGUCUUCGGAUCGUAAAACUCUGUUAUUAGGGAAGAACAUAUGUGUAAGUAACUGUGCACAUCUUGACGGUACCUAAUCAGAAAGCCACGGCUAACUACGUG